Molecule: ribosomal RNA, 54 nt
Filed under: Saponaria prostrata
Lineage: Eukaryota; Viridiplantae; Streptophyta; Magnoliopsida; Caryophyllales; Caryophyllaceae
Description: partial 28S ribosomal RNA
Source: RNAcentral
CCCAGGUCAGGCGGGGCUACCCGCUGAAUUUAAGCAUAUCAAAAGCCGGAGGAA